GAGCCUUUUUUUCUGACAGACGAAAAGGCCAAAAGGCUGAUAACAUCGACUGCUGAAUUUCUAGUCUGGAUGUAGUCGGCAACGUCGGAGGUGUAUUUUGGAUCCUCCUCUUGUGAAUGCCAUAGUAUCGAUGAUAACAUCAACUGUUCGUGGUCAUGUCAUCUGCAUCGGAGGUGGAGUCUUGUGAUUGCCGUCGUAGUGGUGCUAACAACAGGUUCAUUCAGACAGUCAACAUUUGUUGCACCAAAUGCAUUGAAAGUCACAGAUCAGCUGGAAUUUUGGAAAGAGGGUGCAGCCUGAAUCAAAUCCUGCUGUUUCUCAUCGGAGAGCUUGUCAACUGUUACUGUCAAAAUGACUCAUUUUUACUGUAUUUUAUU
Long non-coding RNA from Sinocyclocheilus anshuiensis, 377 nucleotides. RefSeq lists it as uncharacterized. The transcript has 4 exons. NCBI's taxonomy places the organism in Eukaryota, Metazoa, Chordata, Actinopteri, Cypriniformes, Cyprinidae. The record is from RefSeq and is a predicted model, not a curated record.